AAAGUGCGAUAUGUAGUGCGAUUUGCAUGAAUCUGUGAGUCAUCUAAUCUUUGAACGCAACUUGCGCCUCUAUGAGGCAUGUCUGUUUGAGUGCCAUAUUCACCAUGAAUAAUAUUCGAUUUGACUACAACAUUCCUGUUCUAGUCUAAAUGCAGCCAGUUUUCACUUUUAUUAUAGGUGGGCCCAAGUGCUAGGCAUUCUUGGCUUACUUACUAUAUAAAAGUUUUACACUUGGCCUCAAAUCAGGCAAGACUACCCGCUGAACUUAA
RNAcentral lists this unclassified non-coding RNA (269 nucleotides) under uncultured Rozellomycota. Its description in RNAcentral is "uncultured Cryptomycota sequence contains ITS1". The stretch from base 1 to 96 matches the Rfam family "5.8S ribosomal RNA", at positions 50 to 154 of the family's 154-position model. The record is from RNAcentral. Lineage: Eukaryota; Fungi; Rozellomycota.